CGCGUAGAAUAGCGGAACUGCGAAGCAAGGAAGCCGGUGAGAGCCCGGCGCGGUCGCGCCACUGUAAUCGGCAAUCCAAGCCGAAAGCCAGACCUGAGCUUCGCACCAUUCCUUUGUAAUCGACUAUCGGGGCGCGUUACCCCAGGAGAUGUCCA
RNAcentral lists this small RNA (155 nucleotides) under Paraburkholderia ginsengiterrae. The record is from RNAcentral. Lineage: Bacteria; Pseudomonadati; Pseudomonadota; Betaproteobacteria; Burkholderiales; Burkholderiaceae.